GAUGAAGAACGUAGCGAAAUGCGAUAAGUAAUGUGAAUUGCAGAAUUCAGUGAAUCAUCGAAUCUUUGAACGCACAUUGCGCCCGCCAGUAUUCUGGCGGGCAUGCCUGUUCGAGCGUCAUUACAACCCUCAGGCCCCCGGGCCUGGCGUUGGGGAUCGGCGGAAGCCCCCUGCGGGCACAACGCCGUCCCCCAAAUACAGUGGCGGUCCCGCCGCAGCUUCCAUUGCGUAGUAGCUAACACCUCGCAACUGGAGAGCGGCGCGGCCACGCCGUAAAACACCCAACUUCUGAAUGUUGACCUCGAAUCCGGUAGGAAUACCCGCUGAACUUAAGCAUAUCAAUAAGCGGAGGA
This 353-nucleotide unclassified non-coding RNA is filed under the name soil metagenome. RNAcentral describes it as "partial contains 5.8S ribosomal RNA, internal transcribed spacer 2, and large subunit ribosomal RNA". The stretch from base 1 to 120 matches the Rfam family "5.8S ribosomal RNA", at positions 35 to 154 of the family's 154-position model. The record is from RNAcentral.